Molecule: ribosomal RNA, 492 nt
Filed under: uncultured bacterium
Lineage: Bacteria
Description: partial 16S ribosomal RNA
Rfam family: Bacterial small subunit ribosomal RNA
Source: RNAcentral
AGUGAACGCUGGCGGUAGGCCUAACACAUGCAAGUCGAACGGCAGCACAGUAAGAGCUUGCUCUUACGGGUGGCGAGUGGCGGACGGGUGAGGAAUACAUCGGAAUCUACUUUUUCGUGGGGGAUAACGUAGGGAAACUUACGCUAAUACCGCAUACGACCUGCGGGUGAAAGCAGGGGAUCUUCGGACCUUGCGCGAUUGAAUGAGCCGAUGUCGGAUUAGCUAGUUGGCGGGGUAAAGGCCCACCAAGGCGACGAUCCGUAGCUGGUCUGAGAGGAUGAUCAGCCACACUGGAACUGAGACACGGUCCAGACUCCUACGGGAGGCAGCAGUGGGGAAUAUUGGACAAUGGGCGUAAGCCUGAUCCAGCCAUACCGCGUGGGUGAAGAAGGCCUUCGGGUUGUAAAGCCCUUUUGUUGGGAAAGAAAAGCAGCAGGUUAAUACCCCGCUGUUCUGACGGUACCCAAAGAAUAAGCACCGGCUAACUUCGUG